Molecule: small nuclear RNA, 173 nt
Organism: Microplitis demolitor
Lineage: Eukaryota; Metazoa; Arthropoda; Insecta; Hymenoptera; Braconidae
Product: U2 spliceosomal RNA
Exons: 1
Source: RefSeq, a predicted model, not a curated record
AUAUCUUUUAAAAGGACAAGACAAGAUCUAGUAUCUGCUCUUAUCAGCUUAAUAUCUGAUACGAUUUUCAUUGAGAAUCCGGAAUAUUAAAUUGAUUUUUAAAACUUUGCAAUAAUCUGGAGCUCGCUCUAGUUUUGUCGCAAUUUUACUGGGUUUUUUGUCUAAAAGCCAAG